GACGAACGCUGGCGGCGCGCCUAACACAUGCAAGUCGAACGAAGUUAAAUUAGCUGAAGUUUUCGGAUGGAAGCAGAUUUAGCUUAGUGGCGAACGGGUGAGUAACACGUGAGCAACCUGCCCUUCAGUGGGGGACAACAGUUGGAAACGACUGCUAAUACCGCAUAAGACCACAGUACCGCAUGGUACCGUGAUCAAAGGAUUUAUUCGCUGAAGGAUGGACUCGCGCCUGAUUAGCUAGAUGGUGAGGUAACGGCCCACCAUGGCAACGAUCAGUAGCCGGACUGAGAGGUUGAUCGGCCACAUUGGGACUGAGACACGGCCCAGACUCCUACGGGAGGCAGCAGUGGGGGAUAUUGCACAAUGGAGGAAACUCUGAUGCAGCGACGCCGCGUGAGGGAAGAAGGUUUUCGGAUUGUAAACCUCUGUCUUCGGGGACGAAACAAAUGACGGUACUCGAGGAGGAAGCCACGGCUAACUACGUG
RNAcentral lists this ribosomal RNA (485 nucleotides) under uncultured organism. RNAcentral describes it as "bacterial SSU rRNA". It matches the Rfam family "Bacterial small subunit ribosomal RNA", at positions 28 to 507 of the family's 1533-position model. The record is from RNAcentral.